UCUGCUUGCCAAUGCAGGGGACAUGGGUUCGAUCCCUGGUCCGGGAAGAUCCCACAUGCUGUGGAGCAACUAAGCCCAUACACCACAACUACUGAGCCUGUGCUCUAGAGCCCAUGAGCCACAACUACUGAGCCCAUGUGCCACAACUACUGAAGCCCACGCGCCUAGAGCCCGUGCUCUGCAACAAGAAAGGCCACCGCAAUGAGAAGCCUGCGCACCACAACGAAGAGCAGCCUCCACUCGCCGCAACUAGAGAAAGCCCGCGCGCAGCAACGAUGACCCAACACAGCCAAAAAUAAAUAAAUAAA
Long non-coding RNA from Orcinus orca (killer whale), 308 nucleotides. RefSeq lists it as uncharacterized. NCBI's taxonomy places the organism in Eukaryota, Metazoa, Chordata, Mammalia, Artiodactyla, Delphinidae. The record is from RefSeq and is a predicted model, not a curated record. The transcript has 2 exons.